UACGUAGGGUGCGAGCGUUAUCCGGAAUUAUUGGGCGUAAAGAGCUCGUAGGCGGUUUGUCGCGUCUGUCGUGGAAAGUCCGGGGCUUAACCCCGGAUCUGCGGUGGGUACGGGCAGACUAGAGUGCAGUAGGGGAGACUGGAAUUCCUGGUGUAGCGGUGGAAUGCGCAGAUAUCAGGAGGAACACCGAUGGCGAAGGCAGGUCUCUGGGCUGUAACUGACGCUGAGGAGCGAAAGCAUGGGGAGCGAACAGG
Molecule: ribosomal RNA, 254 nt
Filed under: uncultured bacterium
Lineage: Bacteria
Description: partial 16S ribosomal RNA
Rfam family: Bacterial small subunit ribosomal RNA
Source: RNAcentral